UACAGAGGGUGCAAGCGUUAAUCGGAAUUACUGGGCGCAAAGCGUGCGCAGACGGUUAUCUAAGCCGAGUGUGAAAGCCCCGGGCUCAACCUGGGAAUUGCAUUCGAUACUGAAUAGCUAGGGUGCGGAAGAGGGAAGUGGAAUUUCCGGUGUAGCGGUGAAAUGCGUAGAUAUCGGAAGGAACAUCAGUGGCGAAAGCGACUUCCUGGUCCAGCACCGACGUGCGGGCACGAAAGCGUGGGGCGCAAACAGG
This 253-nucleotide ribosomal RNA is filed under the name uncultured bacterium. RNAcentral's name for it is "partial 16S ribosomal RNA". It matches the Rfam family "Bacterial small subunit ribosomal RNA", at positions 524 to 776 of the family's 1533-position model. The record is from RNAcentral.